CCAAGGAGUCUAGCAUGUGCGCAAGUCACUGGGACUUGCUAAACCCAGAGGCGCAGUGAAAGCGUGGGGCGCGCCCGGUACGCCGGGCCGCCGCUAAGGGAGGACGGUCGGUCGCUCCAGACCGGGGCGGCCGGCAAGCACUCCCGGGGCGCCUCGGCCCAGGCCGCAGGCGCACCCGGAGCGCACACGUUGGGACCCGAAAGAUGGUGAACUAUGCCCGGCCAGGACGAAGUCAGGGGAAACCCUGAUGGAGGUCCGCAGCGAUUCUGACGUGCAAAUCGAUCGUCAGAGCUGGGUAUAGGGGCGAAAGACUAAUCGAACCAUCUAGUAGCUGGUUCCCUCCGAAGUUUCCCUCAGGAUAGCUGGCGCCGAGUUGGAAAGGGAACAGUCUCAUCCGGUAAAGCGAAUGAUUAGAGGCCUUGGGGCCGAAACGACCUCAACCUAUUCUCAAACUUUAAAUGGGUGAGAUCUCCGGCUUGCUUGAGCGAAGCCGCGAGAAGAGAGCUUGCUCUCCCUUGGAUGAUGGUGCCAAGUGGGCCAAUUUUGGUAAGCAGAACUGGCGCUGUGGGAUGAACCAAACGCCGGGUUAAGGCGCCUAAACCGGAGCUCAUGGGAGACCAUGAAAGGCGUUGGUUGCUUAAGACAGCAGGACGGUGGCCAUGGAAGUCGGAAUCCGCUAAGGAGUGUGUAACAACUCACCUGCCGAAGCAACUAGCCCUGAAAAUGGAUGGCGCUAAAGCUCCGUGCCUAUACCCGGCCGCCGGAAGGCAGGGCCGUUACGCUGAAGCCCCGGCGAGUAGGAGGGCGCGGCGGUGUGCGCGGAAGGGUCCGGGCGUGAGCCCGCCUGGAGCCGCCGCCGGUGCAGAUCUUGGUGGUAGUAGCAAAUACUCAAGCGAGGGCCUUGAGGGCUGAUGCGGAGAAGGGUUUCGUGUGAACAGCCGUUGCACACGAGUCAGUCGAUCCUAAGCCCUAGGAGAAAUCCGAUGCCGAUGCGGCGGGGUGGCUCCCCGCCCGUCGAGGGCGAAAGGGAAUCCGGUUCCUAUUCCGGAACCCGGCAGCGGAACCGAACCGUCGGGCCCUCGCAAGAGAAGCUCGUCGGGGUAACCCAAAGGGACCCGGAGACGCCGUCGGGAGACCCGGGCAGAGUUUUCUGUUCUGCAUAAGCGUUCGAGUUCCCUGGAAUCCUCUAGCAGGGAGAUAGGGUUUGGAACGCGAAGAGCACCGCAGUUGCGGCGGUGUCCGGGUCGUCCCCUCGGACCUUGAAAAUCCGGGAGAGGGCUACGCGGAGGUGUCGCGCCGGCUCGUACCCAUAUCCGCAGCAGGUCUCCAAGGUGAGGAGCCUCUAGUC
RNAcentral lists this ribosomal RNA (1348 nucleotides) under Hodotermopsis japonica. RNAcentral describes it as "eukaryotic LSU rRNA". It matches the Rfam family "Eukaryotic large subunit ribosomal RNA", at positions 666 to 1888 of the family's 3401-position model. Lineage: Eukaryota; Metazoa; Arthropoda; Insecta; Blattodea; Termopsidae. The record is from RNAcentral.